GCUGGGUGUGGUGGUGUGCACCUGUAGUCUCAGUUACUUGGGAGGCUGAGGCAGGAGAAUUGCUUGAGCCCAGGAGUUUGAGGCUGCAGUGAGCUAUGAUUGUGCCACUGUACUCCAGCCUGGUUGACAGAGUGAGACUCUGUCUCUA
Molecule: non-coding RNA, 148 nt
Filed under: Pan paniscus (pygmy chimpanzee)
Lineage: Eukaryota; Metazoa; Chordata; Mammalia; Primates; Hominidae
Also listed under: 1 other name
Source: Rfam by way of RNAcentral